Ictidomys tridecemlineatus (thirteen-lined ground squirrel) is the source of this 834-nucleotide non-coding RNA. NCBI's taxonomy places the organism in Eukaryota, Metazoa, Chordata, Mammalia, Rodentia, Sciuridae. The record is from RefSeq and is a predicted model, not a curated record.
CUUCCUCUCCCCGACACCACCACUCCACCCCGCGUCCCCAUCCCCACCUCAUGUACACUCUGGGGGAACAGACACACUUGCCCAGCCAGAGCCAGCACAACCCUGGCUGUCCCACCUCCUUAUGCAUAGUCUCCUUCCACGUCAAUGACAAAGAAUCAAGCGGAAUGUUCUCAGGCUCCAGAUUCUCCUUGAAACAAAACCAUGUUUCUGGAGAGAAAGACAUGGAAGGACCCCAACCCCGCACAGCCGCAGGCCCCACACUUGAACACGUAUGAACAGCAGGACACCAGGGCUGGAAAGCACAGUGACAUGAAACUGCGGACGGAACUUUUUCUGGCAAUUUAUUUUAACUGCGGCAACACGGCUUUCCAGAACGCCAGAAGAGAAUGCAGCUGAAAAUCUGAGUUUCUUGCCUGGUAUCAGAACGUCUCCAAAGAACUGACGAAGACGUUAUGGCCCAGCUCUGAACAGAUGUUCCAUGUGAACUUUAAAAAGUUGAGAAAUUCUUCCCGAGUGAAGCUGGGCAGUCUGGAGUUUGGGGGGCCCGGGGAACCCCCCCACCCCGCCGCCCUGCGCGCGCACGCACGCACGCGCUCCACUCAGGUCUACUGUACUUGUCAAAAACAUUUCAAGGGGACCAGCGGAAGCGACCAUUGGCUGCUUCCUGAGUCAAUCAGCGGCGUUGCCAGGCAACGGGGAAACUGCUCAGCUCCGCGCACCCAGGGCAAUUGGGAGCUCGCAUACCUUCACUGCCGGUCAGAUGUCAUAAACCUUUUAUUGGCUGCACCGUGGCGAACCUUAAAAACAAAUCAAUAAAAGCCCGCCGACCCCCAA